UAUACACACACAGACACACAGUGGGUUUAACUUAGUAAAACUGAUUAUAGUAUCAAAACCGAGGAAAGAAAUAUUCAUAUCACAAAGCCCUCUAAGAUCAUAAAGCUUUAACUUCUUCUUCUUUGAACAUGCACAAAGCCAGAGUAUACAAAUACAUCCAUAUAGGAUUGGUUCAAGUAGGUAUAAAGUCCCUAACCAAAGAAGGUCUUAAUACUUCUAUCUUAACUGUCCUUAGAGAUACACAGUUUUAUGAUUUUCAAGACUCUUUGCUUAGCUCUGUUUAGUGUAGUCUCUGCACUGGUCCUAUUUCUUUUGAGUGUUAUCCAAAUUUACUAUAUCUUUGAAUGAUAAGAACUUGUUGGAUAGUCUUGUUUUGCAAAUUAAAACUCAUAACUACAAAAUGUUUCCUGGAUCAAUUCCCGUUGCUCUAAUUUUUAAACUUCAUUACAAAGCCAUAAUGACAUCUUUUACUUUUAAAGCUCUUAUUCACAGUCAGAAAGGAGA
RNAcentral lists this unclassified non-coding RNA (504 nucleotides) under Hevea brasiliensis (rubber tree). The record is from RNAcentral. Lineage: Eukaryota; Viridiplantae; Streptophyta; Magnoliopsida; Malpighiales; Euphorbiaceae.